This 325-nucleotide unclassified non-coding RNA is filed under the name soil metagenome. RNAcentral's name for it is "partial contains 5.8S ribosomal RNA, internal transcribed spacer 2, and large subunit ribosomal RNA". The stretch from base 1 to 120 matches the Rfam family "5.8S ribosomal RNA", at positions 35 to 154 of the family's 154-position model. The record is from RNAcentral.
GAUGAAGAACGCAGCGAAAUGCGAUAAGUAAUGUGAAUUGCAGAAUUCAGUGAAUCAUCGAAUCUUUGAACGCACAUUGAGCCCCUUGGUAUUCCGGGGGGCAUGCCUGUUCGAGCGUCAUUAUAACCCUCAAGCCUAGCUUGGUGUUGGAGCAUGCUACCUAAGCAGCUCUUAAAAUCAGUGGCAGUGCCCUUCGGCUCUAAGCGUAGUAACUUCUCUCGCUAUGGAACCCGGAGGGUACGCGCCAGAACCCCCGACUUUCUAUGGUUGACCUCGGAUCAGGUAGGGAUACCCGCUGAACUUAAGCAUAUCAAUAAGCGGAGGA